GUCAGUUUUACCCUCCAGGAUACAGCAAGGUGAGGAAUGAACCAUUUCUUGGGCAUGCUUUUUAUUUUAAAGAAGAGAAUGUAGGACAAUCCAGUCAAUCCUACUCCUCUUUCGGAGGUUCCAAAACAGCAGACGGUCAAGAGCUGGGAGGAGUUGGACAAUCCAAAGAAGAGCUGCUGAGGCGGAAACACGGUUCUUUGUCUUGGGAGCUUCUGGAUUCUAGCUGUGGGGGAAGGGAGAGAACUCUGCAUUUCCUUUCCAAAGGAAAACAUGGCCGGAGGUUUCCAGAUUCAUUUUGUCUUGAGAGCGCGUUCCUUUACCCCUUUGUCAACACUGCAAAGCUCAAACAAACAAAAAUAACCACCCACCUCUGCAUUAUCAACUUUUUGUCAUCAGAAGAUUUCAUCGUCUGCACAAAAGUAACUGUGUCAAGUGCUCUUUUAUAUAACUAUGUGUGUACUUGUG
RNAcentral lists this long non-coding RNA (465 nucleotides) under Bos indicus x Bos taurus (hybrid cattle). Its description in RNAcentral is "lncRNA (ENSBIXG00005017837.1)". The record is from RNAcentral. Lineage: Eukaryota; Metazoa; Chordata; Mammalia; Artiodactyla; Bovidae.